This 254-nucleotide ribosomal RNA is filed under the name uncultured bacterium. RNAcentral describes it as "partial 16S ribosomal RNA". It matches the Rfam family "Bacterial small subunit ribosomal RNA", at positions 524 to 776 of the family's 1533-position model. The record is from RNAcentral.
UACGGAGGGUGCGAGCGUUGUCCGGAAUCACUGGGCGUAAAGGGCGCGUAGGCGGUCUGCUAAGCGUGCGGUGAAAGCCUGGGGCUCAACCCCAGGUCUGCCGUGCGAACUGGUGGACUCGAGCACUGUAGAGGCAGGUGGAAUUCCGGGUGUAGCGGUGGAAUGCGUAGAGAUCCGGAAGAACACCGGUGGCGAAGGCGGUUAGCUGGGCAGUUGCUGACACUGAGGCGCGGACAGCGUGGGGAGCAAACAGG